GAAUGCUGACAUAAGUAACGAUAAAGCGGGUGAAAAGCCCGCUCGCCGGAAGACCAAGGGUUCCUGUCCAACGUUAAUCGGGGCAGGGUGAGUCGACCCCUAAGGCGAGGCCGAAAGGCGUAGUCGAUGGGAAACGGGUUAAUAUUCCCGUACUUGGUGUUACUGCGAAGGGGGGACGGAGAAGGCUAUGUUGGCCGGGCGACGGUUGUCCCGGUUUAAGCGUGUAGGUGUGUGUUCCAGGUAAAUCCGGUUCACUUUAACACUGAGGCGUGACGACGAGGCACUACGGUGCUGAAGCAACAAAUGCCCUGCUUCCAGGAAAAGCCUCUAAGCAUCAGGUAACAUCAAAUCGUACCCCAAACCGACACAGGUGGUCAGGUAGAGAAUACCAAGGCGCUUGAGAGAACUCGGGUGAAGGAACUAGGCAAAAUGGUGCCGUAACUUCGGGAGAAGGCACGCUGACACGUAGGUGAAGUGAUUUACUCAUGGAGCUGAAGUCAGUCGAAGAUACCAGCUGGCUGCAACUGUUUAUUAAAAACACAGCACUGUGCAAACACGAAAGUGGACGUAUACGGUGUGACGCCUGCCCGGUGCCGGAAGGUUAAUUGAUGGGGUCAGCGCAAGCGAAGCUCCUGAUCGAAGCCCCGGUAAACGGCGGCCGUAACUAUAACGGUCCUAAGGUAGCGAAAUUCCUUGUCGGGUAAGUUCCGACCUGCACGAAUGGCGUAAUGAUGGCCAGGCUGUCUCCACCCGAGACUCAGUGAAAUUGAACUCGCUGUGAAGAUGCAGUGUACCCGCGGCAAGACGGAAAGACCCCGUGAACCUUUACUAUAGCUUGACACUGAACAUUGAGCCUUGAUGUGUAGGAUAGGUGGGAGGCUUUGAAGUGUGGACGCCAGUCUGCAUGGAGCCGACCUUGAAAUACCACCCUUUAAUGUUUGAUGUUCUAACGUGGACCCGUUACCCGGGUUGCGGACAGUGUCUGGUGGGUAGUUUGACUGGGGCGGUCUCCUCCUAAAGAGUAACGGAGGAGCACGAAGGUUGGCUAAUCCUGGUCGGACAUCAGG
RNAcentral lists this ribosomal RNA (1067 nucleotides) under Salmonella enterica. Its description in RNAcentral is "partial 23S ribosomal RNA". It matches the Rfam family "Bacterial large subunit ribosomal RNA", at positions 1292 to 2342 of the family's 2925-position model. Lineage: Bacteria; Pseudomonadati; Pseudomonadota; Gammaproteobacteria; Enterobacterales; Enterobacteriaceae. The record is from RNAcentral. RNAcentral also lists the same sequence under 1 other name.